Molecule: transfer RNA, 58 nt
Filed under: Lepisosteus oculatus (spotted gar)
Lineage: Eukaryota; Metazoa; Chordata; Actinopteri; Semionotiformes; Lepisosteidae
Rfam family: tRNA
About the family: Transfer RNA (tRNA) molecules are approximately 80 nucleotides in length.
Source: Rfam by way of RNAcentral
UAGCUCUGUUGGUAGAGCAUGAGACUAAUAAUUUCAGGGUAGUGGGUUUGUGUCCCAC